GACGUAGGAGGCGAGCGUUAUCCGGAUUUAUUGGGCGUAAAGCGCGUGCAGGCGGUUCUGUAAGUUGGGUAUGAAAUCUCCUGGCUUAACUGGGAGAGGCUACACAAAACUGCAGAGCUUGAGAAUGGGAGAGGGAGGUGGAAUUCCGGGUGUAGUGGUGAAAUGCGUAGAUAUUAGGAGGAACACCAGUAGCGAAGGCGGCUCUCUGGACUGUAACUGACGCUGAGGCACGAAAGCGUGGGGAGCAAACAGGAUUAGAUACCCGGGUAGU
Molecule: ribosomal RNA, 271 nt
Filed under: uncultured prokaryote
Description: partial 16S ribosomal RNA
Rfam family: Bacterial small subunit ribosomal RNA
Source: RNAcentral